AUCCAGCUGACGAGUCCCAAAUAGGACAAAACUAAAGUCAUCAUACAU
RNAcentral lists this non-coding RNA (48 nucleotides) under Schistosoma curassoni. Lineage: Eukaryota; Metazoa; Platyhelminthes; Trematoda; Strigeidida; Schistosomatidae. The record is from RNAcentral.